UUUUUCUUUUUUUUUUUACAUAUGGCAGGUCUGCAGGUAGAAGAAAAAUCAAGCUUCUAUGUAGAAUGAAAGCCAGGCUUUCUUAUGUUUCAUUCAGAGGCAGGAAUGGGAGUCAGAUUUGAACGUAGUUUGUUAUUAUGGUACUACAAAGAGAGGAAUUUGCAAUGACAGCUCAAUUUCUGUGCAGCCAACCUUAAAAAUGAAAACAGCCCACCUAGUCAGAUGGUUCAUUCUAAAGAUUUACUGUCAGAAAGUAAAAAUAGCUGCUUCUCUGCAAAAUUUUGCAUGGAGUUAUUAGAUGAGACCUAGUCAGCAGGUGUGAAGCAGAAUGAAGUCAGUUUACUGUCUCAAAUUGUAUCACCUGAAAGUACAUCAGUCUGGCCUAUGCUGCAGCUCCAGCUAUUGGGCCACUUGGGCUCAGCAGCAGCUGCACAUGCAGCUCCUUGUCAUGAGAUCUGCGAGGAUCUCCUGACCCCCAGUAGAUUUGCCUGUGGAAAAGUGCACAUAGGGCCCAUGCUUUAGAAAUCCUUUUAAAAAAUUACAUAAAACACAGUUCUCUGAAUAUUUUAUAGUCCAUAAAAUGCAAUCUCUUUCACUAGCUCCAUAGUGCCCAGGCUUGGAAAUUCUUUUUAAAAUAGAUCUUAGUGGUAAUGAGGGGAUGGAAUGGAAUAGAAGGGAGUGCAUGUGGAUCGAUAUGAAUUUUAGGUAUGGAAUUAUAAAUGUUAACAUAAUUAAUACAUAGGUGGGGUUUCACAUAUGAGAACAGGUUUUAAUUUGAUUAGAAAUUAUAUAUUAUUUCUAAGAAUAAUAUAAAUCCCAAAAGAAUAAAAACAUAAACUAUGUCUUGGGUCUGACAAAUUACUCCCUCAGACUCAAACAAAACAGUAUGAAAUUACUCAGACUUCUUACUGAAAGACAGCUUCUUGUUACUGAAAAUGGCUUGGCAGUCUUAAAUGAAAAUUGAAUGCUGGCACUGGAUUAUUCCAUGUUUUCAUUGUUUUUGGGAGUAGCUCCUGGAAGGAAGAUCAGAAGGUCAAAUUAGGUCUGUCCCCAAACCUUUGGAAAUGUGACUUAGUGAAAUUAGACUUUGUUUGUAUGAUUUUUAUGUAAAGAAAAAUGUUUUCUUUGAAACCAUAAAUUUAGUCCUAUGUCUAAGCCUUUCACAUCUGAGGUGAAUAAAGCAUCAAAAUGAAUCUGACAUGGAUUGUGUUUAAAACUUACACAUUAUAAAGUUCAGUUAACAGGAACAUACAGGAUGCUGUAUUGAACAUUCUGCUAAUUUUUCAAGUAAUGAGACCUAUCUUCUUUCUUGAACUUUGGAUCAGGUCUCAGAGGAAUACAUCCACACGCUAUUUAGCAUUUAAAAUGCCAGGUAAAAUAGCUGCUGUAUGAUGAAGCAAUUCCUCUUAGUGAGAGAGAACAGCUUUUCUGCCUCAAUGUUUCCAGCUAGUCCUGUGCUGCCUGCAGAGGUAAGGGCAAUUCUGUCUGGGCUUUUCCCCGGUAAGAUGGAAUAAUUUCUCACAGCCCAAGGGUUCUCAAGUGAAACUUCUAAGUGUUGCCCAAACCUCAGUUAAAUGAUCUUUCACAUAAACCAAAGAUUAUUAUACAGUUAACUUGACCUUUGUUUCAUUUGUGUCAAAGCAAUGUCAGCUGUUCUGGUCAUAAAUCAGGACCUUGCCAUACAAACUCAGAGAAGAUUAUGACUUUCUCUUCUGGAUUGUAACCAUACUGUUGCCUUUUGGUUUAUUAUUCAUUUGUAUGCCAGUGGUGUGUGUGGUGGUCACUGAGAGCUGUUGUCUGAGGGACUGACUGACAUCCAAAGGAAAAGCCCUUCUCCAUUUGUUUGCAGUCUGGAGAGAAAAACAAAUGAGGAAGGGAUGUAAGGACACAGGGAAGAAAGGAGAUUUCAGUCUCAGGUUACACUGUAAAUCAAUGGCAAUGCCAGCAUAACCUCUUGUGCUCUGUUCUCUGAAGCUGGUUUCUGCACAGCAGGAAUAUCACAGUUGUGAUUGUGCACUUACAGACUGCAGACCUUUUCAUGACUCUUGUGUUUGAGCUUCGACACCUUUCUCUUGAGGCCUUAAGAGCGCUAUGGCAAAGAUCAUCAUUUAAGUGCAGAGACAAUUGAUCUUGUUUUUGUAAUGGGAUGACAUUCUCUCCUCACUGAAUGAAUGUUAUGUACAAAAUAGACUUACCUAUUCCCACAGCCAGAUUUCCUGUCUCUGAAGCAAUGUGAAUGGCAAACCUGAGUCAUGGCUUGGAUGAAAAUCAAUUCUGCUGCUUUUAAGCGCAGCCAUUAAUAGAUGCUCUCCCAUCUUGUGCCACAGAGGCAUGUGUUGUCCUAAUGAAAGACCUCAUAACUUCCGGAGAAGUGGAGGAAGACAAAGUAGAAUAUUUCUUCUGGUCAUUUACAUUCAUUCCUAAUCCCACCUCAGGCAUGAUUGAAUCUCUUGCUCCUUUGCUGAAGUCACCUAAAGCAAGCCAGAGCUGCUUCUUGGGAGUAACUGCUCUCAUACAUAGGUUUUGUUCAGCUCACAGCUCCUGUGGUGUUGUACCUGCUGUGCAGGGUGUGAUGAGUACACUUGGGAAAUUUUUGGGAGGAAACUGUACCGUGCAAGAUUCAGAACAUCUCAGCAAGAUGCAGCUGGUGUUGAAAGCCAUUGGAAAUGCGGGACUGGCGGCAGCUUCACUGGCUCCUGCUUUGAGCUCGUGCGCUGCCCUGAAGAGCCAUCCCGUGGAGAUCCGCCUCGCUGCUGUCCAGGCCUUCCGGCGCAUUCCCUGCUCUGCUGGGACUGCUAUAUUAGUUCAGCUGUAUCAAGCAUCCAGUGAAGAUGUGGAAAUAAGAAUUGCUGCUUAUUAUAUAGCAAUGAAAUGUCCAAAUGAAGAGUUAUUUAAACAAGUACAAAAAACUUUGCUGAAAGAAACCUCCAGUCAAGGUCAGCCAAGCAACUACUGAAGUCUUACAUGUUCCUAAUUGAUACUUCAAAGUGACAUUUACUUUGCAGGUGUAAUUGUACCAAUCUAUGUAAAUUUUUAUUUAAUCUCAAUGUUUUGUAGAUUGUUUGUAUGAUUGUAACAUUUUAUAUUGAAAUUGUGAUACCAUUAGUUUAGCAAUAGUAAGGACUGACUUUUCAUAGAAUUAGUUCUUUCUACUCGCAGCAUUUCAUUCACUGAGGGCUCCUGAGAAGGAUAUAUGGAAAAGCUUUGAUGCUAAGUGCAUUAGAAAUACAAUUGGAUGACUGCAAAUAGCAUUUUGCUGAGAAAGAAGCAAGUGGCAGAAAAAAAUGUUACUCUAUUCUCAAAUGGUUUCACUAAGUUCAGUGAAGGAUACCUCUAGACUAAUCCCUUGCAUGUACAUCUGUGAAGAAGAAGCAAACAUGAGAAGGGUAUCUGGAAGAUUGUUCGCAGGCAGAUGAAAGCCGGCUCUGUCUGCACUGUGUUGGGGUCCUGGCAAGCUCUGCCUUGGAGCUGGUAUUCAUUUCCCAGGAUGUUAUGUCCAGAUCAGUGUAUCCUGCAGUGAUUGUGAUAUUAGGCUCAGCAUUGUGUUCACCUGCUGAUGUGGCUUGUGGUUUGGAGGGCACUCAUUCCUCUCUGUUCAGAAUUCCGACAGAAAGAAAUUGCAUCCACCUCCAAAAUCCUGUCAGGGUGUACCCUCAGUGACUCCUCCUGGUGACUCCAUGCAGAAAAUUUAGUUUGUUUGACUUAUGAAGGAGCUCUACAAGUCCAUCCAAAAUGUUGUAUGUUUUAAACUAUUUAAUUCAGUACACAUUCAUAUUCUUAAUUUCUUUCCUUUGUAUUUUGUUGAUGUGACAGCUAAAUAAUUUAUAUAGUAAACUUUUGAAUAGCAUGUGCUUUUGAAGGCAUAGGGCAUUUGUUAGGUUUUGGUUCUGCAUUCAGAAAACAAAAUUUGAAAAAAUGUGUUUUGAAAAAUGCGGUUACAUCAGUAUUCAGUGUCUGUGCGUUGAACUAACACUGGAGCCUAGUAUCUUGUAUCUUCAGGAGGCAAAAUGCCUCUAUUUAGGAACCAGACUCCAGAACAUGUGGGAAAUAUUUGUCCUCCACGACACAUCACAUAUGUGGCCAAACUGGGACUCCACAGUAUCACGCAGGAAUACUAAUUCUGAAUCAGGUUUAAUUGUAUGUGCCUUUUUUUAUGUACAGUGCUGUUGCAGUAGGUGCGUCAGACUGAUUUUAAUCAUGCUGAAAAUGAAUGGAUUCUGUUUUGGUCAGGGGAAUAGCUUAGAAUUAAUGGUGGUAUAAAAAAUUAAAAAUAUUUCCUGUCUCUCUUUUUAGGACUCCUGUAAUUUUUCUCUGAUUGUCACAUGCUUUUCUUUGUUGAAUUUUAGUGGGCUCCUUUGUUUGGAGUCAUCUCUCUCAGCUCUUGGAGACAGAUGACCCAUUGAAGGAGCACCUUCGAGAUUCUAUUCCUGAUGAAAUCCUUAGCAAAGAUUUUGACUGGGAGACAUGGAAAUACUCCUCAUACUCUGAUGUCACAUUUCAUUCAGGUAUGUGGAGUGAAAGGAGUUUUAGAACUUAAUACUUUGUAGCAUAUUGGUUAUUAACAUCUCACGAGGCUUUUCUGAGCCUUUACAUAUUGCUCCAGAAAACUUUGAUUUUUGUGAUUUAAUACUAUCCAAAUAUGCAAAUGUAAGCUUGAUUCUGCUUUGACCUUAAUUGGAGCAUAUGAAAUGUAUUUCCAGCAAACCAGAUAACCAUACACCUUUGCCUCUUGUGAGAGAGGAGACUAAGAACCAAUGAACACUUAAGAUUAUUUUUGUGAGCAUCAACUUUUAAUUCCUUCCUUAGUUAACCUCCUUUUCAGCAAUAGGGGACUGGGAUGUUUUUUCUUGUUCUGAUCCAUGUGCUGUCCUUGGUAUAAGAAAAGAGUCAAACUACUUCCUUCCUGUUCUACUAUCUGUUCAUUUGUUUUCAGUGAAAAUGCUAGAUGAUGUUUUUCAGUAACAUUUUGAUUUUCUGUCCAUUUCCUCCAGUGCAUGUAUGUAUCUUAUGAUUUAUAAAUUCUAUCCUUUUGAUGUUAGUGAGAUAAUACCCAGUAAUAUCCAGUAAAUAUGGAAUUCCAGUAAAUGGAAGUUACUAACAGUAAUGUCUUUGCUG
Molecule: long non-coding RNA, 5115 nt
Filed under: Taeniopygia guttata (zebra finch)
Lineage: Eukaryota; Metazoa; Chordata; Aves; Passeriformes; Estrildidae
Description: lncRNA (ENSTGUG00000029118.1)
Source: RNAcentral